RNAcentral lists this ribosomal RNA (482 nucleotides) under uncultured bacterium. RNAcentral describes it as "partial 16S ribosomal RNA". It matches the Rfam family "Bacterial small subunit ribosomal RNA", at positions 28 to 523 of the family's 1533-position model. The record is from RNAcentral.
GACGAACGCUGGCGGCGUGCUUAACACAUACAAGUCGAACGAGGCCCCUCCUUCGGGAGGGUGUCCUAGUGGCGAACGGGUGAGUAACACGUGGGCAACCUGCCCCCGGCUCUGGGAUAACCCCAAGAAAUUGGGGCUAAUACCGGAUAUGACCGCUGACCGCAUGGUCGGUGGUGGAAAGUUUUUUCGGCUGGGGAUGGGCCCGCGGCCUAUAAGCUUGUUGGUGGGGUAGUGGCCUACCAAGGCGACGACGGGUAGCCGGCCUGAGAGGGUGACCGGCCACACUGGGACUGAGACACGGCCCAGACUCCUACGGGAGGCAGCAGUGGGGAAUAUUGCGCAAUGGGCGGAAGCCUGACGCAGCGACGCCGCGUGGGGGAUGACGGCCUUCGGGUUGUAAACCUCUUUCAGCAGGGACGAAGCGAAAGUGACGGUACCUGCAGAAGAAGCACCGGCCAACUACGUGCCAGCCGCCGCAGUAA